RNAcentral lists this unclassified non-coding RNA (325 nucleotides) under uncultured fungus. RNAcentral's name for it is "partial contains small subunit ribosomal RNA, internal transcribed spacer 1, and 5.8S ribosomal RNA". The stretch from base 1 to 73 matches the Rfam family "Eukaryotic small subunit ribosomal RNA", at positions 1759 to 1831 of the family's 1831-position model. The record is from RNAcentral. Lineage: Eukaryota; Fungi.
GCAAACUUGGUCAUUUAGAGGAAGUAAAAGUCGUAACAAGGUUUCCGUAGGUGAACCUGCGGAAGGAUCAUUAUCGAGUUUUGACUGGGUUGUAGCUGGCCUUCCGAGGCAUGUGCACGCCCUGCUCAUCCACUCUACACCUGUGCACUUACUGUGGGCUUCAGACGUCGUGAAGCGGGCUCUUUACUGAGCCUGUAGAGCGGUGUCUGUGCCUGCGUUUAUCACAAACCCCAUAAAGUAUUAGAAUGUGUAUUGCGAUGUAACGCAUCUAUAUACAACUUUCAGCAACGGAUCUCUUGGCUCUCGCAUCGAUGAAGAACGCAGC